AAGGUACAUUCUCUGCUGAUAGACGUCCACGCCUCGAAGGAAGUCGAUCCACGGAUUAGGCCCUGGAAACCGUUUCCUUCAACAUGGAUGUGUGUUCUCCUGUCUGUUGGUCAGGCCACCAGAUGUCACCAGAGAGGACUGUGUUGAAAAGCUUCGAGUAAUGAACCGUUUUUCAACACAAGCUUCAGUGCUUCAGAAAGCGUCAUUUGACCAUCACUACCGUCAGGUAUCAAGCUGGCAUGAGAAGAUCUAGCUCAUCUUGAUUACCAGAGUGAAGAAACACAAGGAGAGGGGACCCCCAUAUCCUCCACAGAGCUAGGGGACAACAACAUGGACCCAUCAAUCAUCACACAGGAUGGAGGAGGACAGCAAUAGCUGGCUGACCUGGUUUACUUCAUCUGAGGGCUUAAGAAAUGAUUGCUCCAGAGGUGUGGGUCGUCCCAGGGUUAACCCUGAAGUUGCCUGGACCAGCCAAAAUCCUGCUUUGUAGUAGAUGCCUCUGGUCAGCUGGAGCCUUUCUCAGCAGUUUGCCGUUGGAUCUCUUUGCGCCUUGUUGGCUCUGGCUUCCUCCAUGCUGGUCAUUCUAAAACUGUAUGUGGUUCAGAGCAAACCAGCUUUUGUGGUUAAAACUGGAAUGCGAGUUUAUAUUUUAACCAACUGACUUAUUUUACUUUUGGUUUUGCAAUUAAUGAAAUGUAACUUCACAAACACAAGAAAUCAGUUGUAUGCUGGUUUAUAGCAGACAGGCAUAAAUUAGUAAUCUGUUUUAGGUACCAAAUUUAUAGUGAAGACCAGAAGUAUUAAAAUAUUAAAUUACAAAUUUGGAAACAGAACUGUAAAAGAAACAAAAUUAUGCUCUGAUUUUUUUUUAUUAUUAUUUUUUUUACAAUUUAUAAAAAAUAGAUUGAAUUGGCUAAUAAUAUCGUCUUAUUGUCUGUGCCAGUGGAUAUAUGGAAAAACAUAACUGAAUUACUUUGACGAUGAAGAUAAAAUAAGUAAUAUAUAUAUAUUCUCCGGUGUCUUUAUUUAUAAUGACCAAGUGUAAUUCACAAAAGAAAAAAGGUAUAUGUUUCAUACCAAAGAUUUUGGUGUCACAACUCAGUUAAAUCUGAACAACAAUCUUCAUGUCAUUUAUAGAUUGCCUGUAGUCCACUGUCUACAUCAUUUAGUGUAUGUUUGUAGGAACUUUGACUCCACCCUUGUAGGUGGACCUACGCUGCAGAAGAUAGUAUGAAGAUAUGAGAUAUUCACCUGAAACAGACCUGCGAGCACUUUCUUUUAGAAACUUAAUUUUACAUUGUUGCUAAGAUGUAUUUACUAAAAAUGUCACACAAAUUCAUAAUUUUGAAGAGUAAACCAUUUUAUUACUAACACUGGAGUAGUUAAAUUUGUUUAUUAUUAUACAGAAACUAACUGUUUUACAAAAACAAAAUGAUACAAUGUCACACAUAUGUACAGUAUAGUAAAUAUACCAUCUCAAAUUGUACACAAAGUAUUUACAAUUCCACACAUACUGCAUUAAAAA
Molecule: long non-coding RNA, 1525 nt
Organism: Astatotilapia calliptera (eastern happy)
Lineage: Eukaryota; Metazoa; Chordata; Actinopteri; Cichliformes; Cichlidae
Source: Ensembl